UACGAAGGGGGCUAGCGUUGCUCGGAUUGACUGGGCGUAAAGGGCGCGUAGGCGGUUCGUACAGUCAGACGUGAAAUUCCUGGGCUCAACCUGGGGGCUGCGUUUGAUACGUGCGGACUUGAGUGCGGAAGAGGGUCGUGGAAUUCCCAGUGUAGCGGUGAAAUGCGCAGAUAUCGGGAAGAACACCCGUGGCGAAGGCGGCUCUCUGGGACGGUACUGACGCUGAGACGCGAAAGCGUGGGGAGCGAACAGG
This 253-nucleotide ribosomal RNA is filed under the name uncultured bacterium. RNAcentral's name for it is "partial 16S ribosomal RNA". It matches the Rfam family "Bacterial small subunit ribosomal RNA", at positions 524 to 776 of the family's 1533-position model. The record is from RNAcentral.